UUUAACGGCGAGUGAAGCGGCAAAAGCUCAAAUUUGAAAUCUGGUACCUUCGGUGCCCGAGUUGUAAUUUGGAGAGGGCAACUUUGGGGCCGUUCCUUGUCUAUGUUCCUUGGAACAGGACGUCAUAGAGGGUGAGAAUCCCGUGUGGCGAGGAGUGCGGUUCUUUGUAAAGUGCCUUCGAAGAGUCGAGUUGUUUGGGAAUGCAGCUCUAAGUGGGUGGUAAAUUCCAUCUAAAGCUAAAUAUUGGCGAGAGACCGAUAGCGAACAAGUACAGUGAUGGAAAGAUGAAAAGAACUUUGAAAAGAGAGUGAAAAAGUACGUGAAAUUGUUGAAAGGGAAGGGCAUUUGAUCAGACAUGGUGUUUUGUGCCCUCUGCUCCUUGUGGGUAGGGGAAUCUCGCAUUUCACUGGGCCAGCAUCAGUUUUGGUGGCAGGAUAAAUCCAUAGGAAUGUAGCUUGCCUCGGUAAGUAUUAUAGCCUGUGGGAAUACUGCCAGCUGGGACUGAGGACUGCGACGUAAGUCAAGGAUGCUGGCAUAAUGGUUAUAUGCCGCCCGUCUUGAACACGGACCAAA
Molecule: ribosomal RNA, 573 nt
Filed under: Saccharomyces cerevisiae (brewer's yeast)
Lineage: Eukaryota; Fungi; Ascomycota; Saccharomycetes; Saccharomycetales; Saccharomycetaceae
Description: partial large subunit ribosomal RNA
Rfam family: Eukaryotic large subunit ribosomal RNA
Source: RNAcentral